CAAACAAACAAGCAAGAAACUAUGAAAGUAUCAGAGCUGAAUAAAAGAAGAGACAGCAGUAUUUCUUCUUCAUAUCCUGAGUCCAGAUACUUCGCUCUUUCCCCUAGAAGCUGCAACAUAUGAAAUUGUGAGUGUCAGACCAGUAAUUCAGUGGACUGCUACAGGCCAGAGUCUCAGCGAUUGCCCAAUAUUUAUUACCUUCUGGAAUAUUUUUAAAGGAUACCAAGAUGGGAUUGGCAUAAAAAUAGACGUGGCAGCUCUUUGGCAUAUGGGAAUUCUCCAUAGCAGAAGGACUCGUGAGAAUGAAACAUUUGACCUUCCAAGAACAGCGUUCUGGUCUGUGGUGAAUGAAGAGGUAACAUAGAACAACUAAUAAGGGCAGAGGUCAGAUGCAUUCCAUAAAACACUGGCUUACCAGGUCUGCAUGGUGGCUGCUGGUAACGCACCACAGAAGUGUGAUAGAAGUCACCUUGUGAAGCAAUGCUCUUACGACAAAAAGAGUUUUAUAUUAUUGCCAUGACACAGAAGAGUAAAACUGAGCAAGGACA
RNAcentral lists this long non-coding RNA (548 nucleotides) under Struthio camelus australis. RNAcentral's name for it is "lncRNA (ENSSCUG00000008683.1)". Lineage: Eukaryota; Metazoa; Chordata; Aves; Struthioniformes; Struthionidae. The record is from RNAcentral.